UCGAUAUUCGGCUACGGGUUUUGGGUAUAUUUAUCUUUUGUUACGAUAGAUCAAUAUACCCAAGGCUCGGAAACGAUGUCGG
Molecule: microRNA precursor, 82 nt
Filed under: Haemonchus contortus (barber pole worm)
Lineage: Eukaryota; Metazoa; Nematoda; Chromadorea; Rhabditida; Trichostrongylidae
Description: microRNA hco-mir-5948 precursor
Source: miRBase by way of RNAcentral